UCGAAGUCAUCGACAAUCGCGGUUCGGUCGAGUCGCGGCUGUGGUUCAAUUGCCGGAGAGGAGGGGCGUAUCCGCACGUGUGCCGCUUUCUUAUGUAAUCUACGUCUACAUACGACGCGUGUCGGCCGACACGGCGACGCUCCGCGAUCACUUCGAGUAGACAGUCAGCCGGUAGUCGUGGUCGAGGUAUCGCGUUAUCAAAGGCCAAGUAGGGCGGUCACGGUCCUCCUCGGCUCCCGACUUUCGAUAAAUACCACCGGUGAAUUUGACUCGCCGACGGUUUUUCGUCCGAUCGCGUCGAUAAAUCGGAGACUGCGACCACGGAUGUUCUUCGAUCACCGCGGCGCGGCCGUAACCAGAACCCUGAAUCCGAGAUCUCGAGAGAGGCCUGCUGCUUCGGAUGAAACGUUCCAGCGGAACGGGGUCCGGGUCCUGUUGCGAGAUGACGACGGCCAUUGCCUGCCUCCUGUUGGUGCUGUUUCCGUUGACGUCCGUUCUCGCCGAGUACCGCGACAAACGCCACGAGGAGAGCGGGGCCAAGUACAAUAUUCUGGGCAUCUUCGGGCAUCCUGGAAAAAGCCACUUUGACUUCUUUCGACCUCUCCUGAUCGAGCUGGCGAGGCGAGGCCACGAUGUUACGGUGGUCUCGCACUUCCCCCGAGGUCCCAAGGACGAGUCCUUGCCAAAUUAUAGGGACGUCAGCUUGGCACCGACGGCCAGGGACAAGAUCGGCAUGGGCAACGGGGUCAACGUGGUCGACCUGAGCAGGAUAAACUACUCGCCGUUCUCCGUCGUGAAGGAGGUGGCGCUCUUGAGGGCUUGGGGACUCCAGGCUUGCGAAGACGCUCUGAGGAACGAGGACGUGCGUCGCCUCGUCGCCUCGAAUGACACGUUCCAUGUCAUCCUGACGGAGUCGUUCAAUACCGACUGUUUCCUCGGAUUCGUGCACAGAUUCAAGGCGCCCUUCAUCGCGCUCUCGUCGCACCAGAUUAUGCCCUGGACUCAAGAGCGCCUCCGAGACCCGGAGAACCCUAGCUACGUGCCCUGCUCCUUCCUAGGAUUUUCCUGGAAGAUGAACUUUUUGCAACGAGUACAAAACGCCUUGACGGUGGCGCUAACGAGAGUGUACUUCAGGACCGCGUACGAGUGGCCAACCCAGGUCCUGGUAGAAGAGGCCUUCGGUCCAGGAGUUCCUCCCCUGUGGGAGAUCGCCAGGAACACUUCGGCCAUCCUCCUCAACACUCAUUAUUCGCUGCAUGGCGCGAGACCUCACCUCCCAAACGUGAUCGACGUUGGAGGCUUGCACAUUCCGAACUUCAAUCGGGAAUGGGGAUCGAGCAAGGUCUCGCUGGAGGAUCAACUGCCUCAGGACAUUCGACGAUUCCUCGAUAACGCGUCCGAAGGGGUACUCUACUUCAGUUGGGGCUCUAUGAUCAAAAUGUCCAGUCUGCCCGAGAAGAAGCUGCAAGCCAUCCUUCGAGUUUUGGGUUCCAUCCCCAGAAAGGUCCUCUGGAAGUGGGAGGCCGAUGACCUCCCCGGAAAGCCGGAUAACGUCAUGGUGGCCAAAUGGCUGCCUCAGUUCGCCGUUCUAAAUCAUCCAAACGUGAAAUGCUUCUUGGGGCACGGAGGACUCCUGGGACUCUCCGAAGCGGUCUACGCGCAGGUACCGAUGGUCCUGGUGCCCAUGUACGGGGAUCAGUUUCAUAACGUUGCCGCGGCAGAGGCCAGAGGGGUCGCCGUUGUUCUGCCGUACAACCUUCUGGACGAGAGGACCUUUCGAGAUGCCUUGGACAGAGUCUUUAACGAUACCAGAUACACCUCGAACAGCCAAAUUCUCGCGAAGGUGUACAGGGAACGGCCGUCCAGCCCUCUGGAGACGGCGGUCUGGUGGACCGAGUUCGUCGGGCGAGGAUACCCUGUCAGCUAUCUGCGCAACGAGGGGGCCGAGUUGGCCUGGUAUCGAUACUACCUCCUCGACGUCGUCGGAUUCCUUCUGCUCCUCGGGCUGGCAGGCGUUUUCCUGACUUACCGCCUCGCCAGGGCAUCGAUCUCCUAUCUCCUGGCCCUCUGGGAGACAUUCGUCGGGACGACGAGGAGACGCGCAGUUGGCGCAAAAUCCAAUAAAGCGGACUAGAGAGCGCCACCGUCGCGCCCCGAACUCGGGUAAUUACCCUGCCAAGGCACAUAAGGGGGCCGUGCCGGGAAUGGCUCGGAAACUCGGCACCCACGCGUCCGGACUGUGGGGCCAGUCCUCGAAGCAGUCGGGGAUGGGACGGAGGACCGAAGAAUGGGAAGCGACGAGCACGAACUUUGGGCGGAAGGAGGAAAAGGAUUACGAAAUCUUCGCCAGUCCCUUUCGAGCGUUCCCCGUCUCUUCCCGCUCCCGAGUACCACCGUUUUCCUUGUUUACGAUCUCAUAACUCUCGAACCGAACUCCGCUCCGAAUGUUGCUCGCAAUCGCUUCGGCGAGGCCGCGCGACCGAUCGUUCCCCUCUUUCGAGGAGUAAUACCUCGGAGCGCGUUAUGCGCGCAAAGAGACGAGGAACGAACGAUGGAGCGGCGUUUCGACGUUUUCGCGAGUAUCGGACAAAAUAUAAUUUCGAAAAUUAUUUUAUCGACGUUACGCUAAAUCGUCCAUGGAGAAGGGCUUUAAUCGAAUCACUCGGCAACGGAAGCGGACGAAUGGUCAUUAUUUAAGGGAUAGGAACCUCAAAAAUAAAGCGUGCAAUUUCGA
This 2734-nucleotide unclassified non-coding RNA is filed under the name Orussus abietinus. RNAcentral's name for it is "uDP-glucuronosyltransferase 2B2, transcript variant X1". The record is from RNAcentral. Lineage: Eukaryota; Metazoa; Arthropoda; Insecta; Hymenoptera; Orussidae.